RNAcentral lists this non-coding RNA (45 nucleotides) under Trichobilharzia regenti. Lineage: Eukaryota; Metazoa; Platyhelminthes; Trematoda; Strigeidida; Schistosomatidae. The record is from RNAcentral.
AUCCAGCUGAUGAGUUCCAAAUAGAAGGAGGUGAGCGUCCUGGAU